GCAUAUCAAUAAGCGGAGGAAAAGAAACUAACAAGGAUUCCCCUUAGUAACUGCGAGUGAAGCGGGAAAAGCUCAAAUUUAAAAUCUGGUAGUCUUUGGCUGCCCGAGUUGUAAUCUAGAGAAGCGUUAUCCGCGCUGGACCGUGUGUAAGUCUCCUGGAAUGGAGCGUCAUAGAGGGUGAGAAUCCCGUCUUUAACACGGACUACCAGGGCUUUGUGAUGCGCUCUCAAAGAGUCGAGUUGUUUGGGAAUGCAGCUCUAAAUGGGUGGUAAAUUCCAUCUAAAGCUAAAUAUUGGCGAGAGACCGAUAGCGAACAAGUACCGUGAGGGAAAGAUGAAAAGAACUUUGGAAAGAGAGUUAAACAGUACGUGAAAUUGUUGAAAGGGAAACGCUUGAAGUCAGUCGCGUUGGUCAGGGAUCAACCUUGCUUUUGCUUGGUGUACUUCCUGGUUAACGGGUCAGCAUCAAUUUUGACCAGUGGAAAAAGGUCAGGGGAAUGUGGCAUCUUCGGAUGUGUUAUAGCCUCUGGUCAUAUACACUGGUUGGGAUUGAGGAACUCAGCACGCCGCAAGGCCGGGGUUUACCCACGUUCGUGCUUAGGAUGCUGGCAUAAUGGCUUUAAUCGACCCGUCUUGAAACACGGACCAAGGAGUCUAACAUGCCUGCGAGUGUUUGGGUGGAAAACCCAAGCGCGUAAUGAAAGUGAAAGUUGGGAUCCCUGUCGUGGGGAGCACCGACGCCCGGACCAGACCUUUUGUGACGGAUCCGCGGUAGAGCAUGUAUGUUGGGACCCGAAAGAUGGUGAACUAUGCCUGAAUAGGGUGAAGCCAGAGGAAACUCUGGUGGAGGCUCGUAGCGAUUCUGACGUGCAAAUCGAUCGUCGAAUUUGGGGUAUAGGGGGCGAAAGACUAAUCGAACCAUCUAGUAGCUGGUUCCUGCCGAA
This 943-nucleotide ribosomal RNA is filed under the name Entoloma juncinum. RNAcentral's name for it is "LSU rRNA". It matches the Rfam family "Eukaryotic large subunit ribosomal RNA", at positions 38 to 965 of the family's 3401-position model. Lineage: Eukaryota; Fungi; Basidiomycota; Agaricomycetes; Agaricales; Entolomataceae. The record is from RNAcentral.